UGGGGAAUUUUGGACAAUGGGCGAAAGCCUGAUCCAGCCAUGCCGCGUGCGGGAAGAAGGCCUUCGGGUUGUAAACCGCUUUUGUCAGGGAAGAAAAGCGCCAGGCUAAUACCUUGGCGUCAUGACGGUACCUGAAGAAUAAGCACCGGCUAACUACGUGCCAGCAGCCGCGGUAAUACGUAGGGUGCAAGCGUUAAUCGGAAUUACUGGGCGUAAAGCGUGCGCAGGCGGUCGUGCAAGACAGAUGUGAAAUCCCCGGGCUCAACCUGGGAACUGCAUUUGUGACUGCACGGCUUGAGUGCGGCAGAGGGGAAUGGAAUUCCGCAUGUAGCAGUGAAAUGCGUAGAUAUGCGAGGAACACCGAUGGCGAAGGCAAUUCCCGUGGCCUGCACUGACGCUCAU
RNAcentral lists this ribosomal RNA (402 nucleotides) under uncultured bacterium. Its description in RNAcentral is "bacterial SSU rRNA". It matches the Rfam family "Bacterial small subunit ribosomal RNA", at positions 355 to 750 of the family's 1533-position model. The record is from RNAcentral.